RNAcentral lists this ribosomal RNA (480 nucleotides) under uncultured bacterium. RNAcentral's name for it is "partial 16S ribosomal RNA". It matches the Rfam family "Bacterial small subunit ribosomal RNA", at positions 28 to 523 of the family's 1533-position model. The record is from RNAcentral.
GACGAACGCUGGCGGCGUGCCUAACACAUGCAAGUCGAGCGAGUGAAUUUCCUUCGGGAGUGAAGCUAGCGGCGGACGGGUGAGUAACACGUGGGCAACCUGCCUCAUAGAGGGGAAUAGCCUUUCGAAAGGACGAUUAAUACCGCAUAAGAUUGUAGCUUCGCAUGAAGUAGCAAUUAAAGGAGCAAUCCGCUAUGAGAUGGGCCCGCGGCGCAUUAGCUAGUUGGUGAGGUAACGGCUCACCAAGGCGACGAUGCGUAGCCGACCUGAGAGGGUGAUCGGCCACAUUGGGACUGAGACACGGCCCAGACUCCUACGGGAGGCAGCAGUGGGGAAUAUUGCACAAUGGGGGAAACCCUGAUGCAGCAACGCCGCGUGAGUGAUGACGGCCUUCGGGUUGUAAAGCUCUGUCUUCAGGGACGAUAAUGACGGUUCCUGAGGAGGAAGCCACGGCUAACUACGUGCCAGCAGCCGCAGUAA